UCCGGUUGAUCCUGCCAGAGGUUACUGCUAUCGGAGUUCGAUUAAGCCAUGCGAGUCUAAAGGUUUCUUCGGAAACCUUGGCGAACUGCUCAGUAACACGUGGAUAACCUACCCUUGGGACUGGAAUAACCCCGGGAAACUGGGGAUAAUACCGGAUAGAUCAGGGAUGCUGGAAUGCACCUUGAUCCAAAGCUCCGGCGCCCAAGGAUGGGUCUGCGGCCUAUCAGGUAGUAGUGGGUGUAAUGUACCUACUAGCCAACGACGGGUACGGGUUGUGAGAGCAAGAGCCCGGAGAUGGAUUCUGAGACACGAAUCCAGGCCCUACGGGGUGCAGCAGGCGCGAAACCUUUACAAUGUGCGAAAGCAUGAUAAGGGAACUCCGAGUGCCAGCAUCUAAUGUUGGCUGUCCUUGUGCCUAAAACGCACAAGAUAGCAAGGGCCGGGUAAGACCGGUGCCAGCCGCCGCGGUAACACCGGCGGCCCGAGUGGUAGCCGCUAUUAUUGGGUCUAAAGGGUCCGUAGCCGGUUCGAUAAGUCCUCUGGGAAAUCUGGUUGCUUAACAAUCAGACUGCCAAGGGAUACUGUCGAACUUGAGACCGGGAGAGGUAAGAGGUACUUCAGGGGUAGGAGUGAAAUCUUGUAAUCCCUGGGGGACCAUCUGUGGCGAAGGCGUCUUACCAGAACGGGUCUGACGGUGAGGGACGAAAGCUGGGGGCGCAAACCGGAUUAGAUACCCGGGUAGUCCCAGCCGUAAACGAUGCUCGCUAUGUGUCAGGUACGGUGUGACCGUAUCUGGUGCCGUAGGGAAGCCGUGAAGCGAGCCACCUGGGAAGUACGGUCGCAGACUGAACUUAAAGGAAUUGGCGGGGGAGCACUACAACGGGUGGAGCUGCGGUUUAAUGCAUUC
This 907-nucleotide ribosomal RNA is filed under the name uncultured archaeon. RNAcentral's name for it is "bacterial SSU rRNA". It matches the Rfam family "Archaeal small subunit ribosomal RNA", at positions 1 to 913 of the family's 1478-position model. The record is from RNAcentral.